This 459-nucleotide ribosomal RNA is filed under the name uncultured bacterium. Its description in RNAcentral is "bacterial SSU rRNA". It matches the Rfam family "Bacterial small subunit ribosomal RNA", at positions 29 to 531 of the family's 1533-position model. The record is from RNAcentral.
AACGAACGCUGGCGGCAUGCCUAACACAUGCAAGUCGAACGAAGCCUUCGGGCUUAGUGGCGCACGGGUGCGUAACGCGUGGGAAUCUGCCCCUCGGUUCGGAAUAACAGUUAGAAAUGACUGCUAAUACCGGAUGAUGACGAAAGUCCAAAGAUUUAUCGCCGAGGGAUGAGCCCGCGUAGGAUUAGCUUGUUGGUGGGGUAAUGGCCCACCAAGGCGACGAUCCUUAGCUGGUCUGAGAGGAUGAUCAGCCACACUGGGACUGAGACACGGCCCAGACUCCUACGGGAGGCAGCAGUGGGGAAUAUUGGACAAUGGGCGAAAGCCUGAUCCAGCAAUGCCGCGUGAGUGAUGAAGGCCUUAGGGUUGUAAAGCUCUUUUACCAGGGAUGAUAAUGACAGUACCUGGAGAAUAAGCUCCGGCUAACUCCGUGCCAGCAGCCGCGGUAAUUAGCGUACU